This 253-nucleotide ribosomal RNA is filed under the name uncultured bacterium. Its description in RNAcentral is "partial 16S ribosomal RNA". It matches the Rfam family "Bacterial small subunit ribosomal RNA", at positions 524 to 776 of the family's 1533-position model. The record is from RNAcentral.
UACAGAGGGUGCGAGCGUUGUCCGGAAUCACUGGGCGUAAAGGGCGCGUAGGCGGCCCGGGAAGGGUGCGGUGAAAGCCCGGGGCUCAACCCCGGGUCGGCCGUGGCAACUGCUGGGCUGGAGCACAGUAGAGGCGGGUGGAAUUCCGGGUGUAGCGGUGGAAUGCGUAGAGAUCCGGAAGAACACCGGUGGCGAAGGCGGCCCGCUGGGCUGUUGCUGACGCUGAGGCGCGACAGCGUGGGGAGCAAACAGG